GGAAUCUUUCACAAUGGACGCAAGUCUGAUGGAGCAACGCCGCGUGAGUGAAGAAGGUCUUCGGAUCGUAAAACUCUGUUGUUAGAGAAGAACACGAGUGAGAGUAACUGUUCAUUCGAUGACGGUAUCUAACCAGCAAGUCACGGCUAACUACGUGCCAG
This 161-nucleotide ribosomal RNA is filed under the name uncultured bacterium. Its description in RNAcentral is "partial 16S rRNA". It matches the Rfam family "Bacterial small subunit ribosomal RNA", at positions 358 to 511 of the family's 1533-position model. The record is from RNAcentral.